CCGUGGAGAAGCAAUGAAGGAAACUAUCUUGAGCAGCAUAGUAGCUAAAUUUAAAUUGAGUAUGUUUCUUUUUGUUGUUGUUUUUUGCUUUUUAUUAGCAGAACUUAUUUUAUUGUUGGAACUUUUUGAUAACAUCCCCUGUAAAUAUACACCACUCUGUUGGUAAGGGUGUGGCUGAAGCAGACCCCAGUCAUUCACUAACAGUGUCAAUGUGGGGUCUGAUGUUGUAGAUAAUAACGAUCUAUAACUUUUGGUACAUUUAAGGCUUUCAUGGUGGUCUGUUAAAUUACAUGUGCUUUGACAUGUUUUGGUCAAAGCACAAAGCACACCAACAACAAAAACUACCUCAUAACUAAAUCUGAUACAUUUCUUUGUUAGCAGUAUUUUGGAAUUAAUUGCAUGAUGCUACUUGGGAAAAUUCUUAGAAGGGGGGAAAAACUUAAACCAGUUCUUUAGCCAGCUUAAAUCUUUAAUAUAAAAAAUCUCUGUUUGCACACAAGCUCCUACACAAUCUGGAGUUGGCACACAGGUUCUUCAUGGGGCCCUGACGGUUCUUGUUUAUAUAAAAUAUUAUGAGGUCGUCGUGUUGCCUAGCAGCCAUCUGACAAUGUAGCACAAUGACACAUUUGUAGCUUUUACGCAGCUAGAAGAGACUUAUAAAAGUAUUGUAUCAUUUUCAUUUCACAACAGUAACACAUAAUUUAUAUCCCAAAAACUAAGCAUGACACAUGAUGAUGUCACACUGUCUAGCAACCACCUAACAACAAACUAAAACCACAAACUAAACAAUACUGUAACCUGGGAAUUUCCCAGGAUAUUAAAUCUGCACUUACAUUCUGAGCCACAGAUAAAAGCUUUAAUUACCAGGAUGAUGCAAAUCACUGCAGUGUUUUUACAUACAAUUAAGCCGCGUAUCAACUUUUUCUGGAAAUGGGGUUGUGAAAAAAAACGCAAUGCAAUUCAAUUAAAUACUCAGCUGUUUGUUACAUUUAUUUCCUACUUAGAGAAACCAGUGAGAUGAACAUCUUAAUUUGAUGACUUUCUAUAUACAACUUUAACAUGUACAUAUAACUACAUCUUGCAAUGUCCAAAUGUGAUUUUCAUAUCAUACAAAUUGAUAUAUCCAUCAAUAACAAUGUAUACGUAACUAGAUUAACACUUUUUACUGUAGUGGUAUAGAAAAUCCUAUACAAACCAUAAAGGAUUUGAUGGGAUAAAUAAAUGUGAGAAUCACACUAGACCUCCACUAGUUUGCUCCAUAAGACUUUCAUAAUCAAGAUGUAACAGUGAAAGAACAUUUCCCAUUAUUUGGCAGGUAAUUACAGCAUGAAAUAAUAACAGUUAUGCUCCAAAUUACUAUAUUUUACAAUUAUAAUUUUUCAUUGUUCAAUAAAAGACUUUUUAAAAAACUUUUAACUUUUUUUAUUUGAAUAUUAAUGGAGUUUACCUAUACAAUAAUAUUACCCAACGCUGUGAUUAAAAAGUCAACAUAUAGCAAAAUAUAGCUUAAGACUAAAUAAUUAGCAGCAACUACACAAAUGUUUAAAACAUUCUUUCUGACUGUGACACAAUGGAAAAGAAAACACCAUUUGACAGUGACCGUGUCGCGUUCGCCUUUACGACUCGGCAGUCCUUUGUCAACUGGCAUUCUUAACAUAUUUGCUACCCACUAAUGUGUAAAUAAUCUGUGUGAAGCUGCCUUUUUCAGCUGUGGUACACACUGCUGCUGAUAAAAGGAUAGUUUCACACACGUUGAAUCCCAUAGUCUGUGUUGAAGAUCCCAACAUGUCCAAGAAUCCAAAGACCCUUAAUAAUCCCCGCUAUUCAUGAUAAGUAAUAGGAUUUUUGGUUCCAGGCCGAACUGUGAAAGUCAUACCAUGUUGAUAUUUAGACUUCGGUCCAUUGCUGAAAAGAAAAACACAUUAUGUAUGAAUAUAUUGGCCAACCAGUGAGUUUUGGCAUCUAAAAAAGUCAAUGUGGGACAUUUGAGCAUGACAGUCUUACCUGCUGAAAACUUUUGUUGACGAGUUAUCUGAAUAUUUUUUGUCCACUUUACGCUGCAGCUCCCUCAUGUCCAGAGUUGCUGCUUUCUGGUGAUAUUUGGUAGUUGGUGAUUUCAGCUGGUCAUUGGCCUCCCAUUCAUCAGAGGAAGGCUCUACGUCUUCCUUUUGGUGGGACAUUUUGGGGGCCAUUUCCUCCAGCUUCUUUUUUAGGAUGCACUGGAGAUCAAAAUGUCUUUGUUCCAGAGUGCGUGCUGGCUGAGUGGAGUCUGGCUUGGGUUUUGUCUGGACUUGUGCCUUUGGUUGGACAUUAGGAGGUUGGGGGUUCAGAGGAGGAGGUGGAAUUGAAACUGUAGGUGCUGUUUUUAGAGGAGGAGGUGGAACUGAAGAGGGAGGACUUGCAGAGGGCUGUGUCUUAUUCAAAGGAUACUGAACUGAGGCAGGAGAAAGAGAGGUUACAGGUGGUGAUGGUGCCUUUUUUGUGGGAGGGUCCGGUGGAAUGAUGGAAGGUGGCAGGUCCAUAAUUUUGUUUAAAUCAUCAAACUCUGGUGGUGGAGGCAGUAAUGGCAUGCUGAACCCAUCUUUAUUGCCCUCAGGUUUUGGAGUCUGAGACAGUGAGCUGCUUUGAUAUGCAUUUUGUCUCUCCUCUGCUUUUUUGCUAACAGUAGGGGUUUCUAUGAUCCUGCUGAGAGCUGGACUGGUAGAUGGUGCCUGACCAUUGACCAGUGCAUGACUGCUUGAAGUUUCAGGAGCAUCAUUUGUUUGUGGACGGUCUACUGGACUGAAGGAUUUUGGAGUCUCUGGUAAUAUUUUUUCUGUCAAUUUUACAGCUGAAGAGCCAGAACUUGGAAGGUCACUUGAGUGAAUACUUGGCUGCUCAUUGUUCUUUCCACUGUUUUCCCGUGAAAUAGAGUGCGUCGUUCUGUUUUUCUCUCUUUCUUUAGCUGCCUUUAGAAGAGCCAGUGGAGAAGCCGCAUGGCCGUCUCGUGCUCCGUGGGUUUCACUUCCUUUCAGGCUACGUAGUUUAUGAUCCAAUAUCGGACUGUAUUUCUGGUUUGGAUUUUGAUACCGCCCAGGUUUGACUGGGGUUGGACUUUGGUACUCUCCAGGUUUGACUGGGGUUGGACUUUGGUACUCUCCUGGUUUGACUGGGGCUGGACUUUGGUACUCUCCUGGUUUGACUGGGGUUGCACUCUGGUACUCUCCUGGUUUGACUGGGGCUGGACUUUGGUACUCUCCUGGUUUGACUGGGGCUGGACUUUGGUACUCUCUAGAAUUUUCUGCUUUUGGACUUUCUGCUUUUGGAAUUUGGUUCUCUCCAAGUUUGUCCUUGCUGGUCUCUAAAUUAAUCAGAGUAUUGUCAACUUCAUCAAGCUGUAGAGACUUCUGAAGCGGUGGCUGCACUGGGUUGGUUAUUUCUGGUUGCACUGAAAUUGUCUCUGUUUUAGCCUUUGUCUUAGUCUCUGUCUUAGUCACUGUCUUUUGCUCAAAUGGGGUAGAUUCAGAAGGUUGGGCAACUUGUAAAUUCUCCUCCAGCUCCUUUACAUUGGGAACUGGUUUAGAUAGUGUAGGCACUUUGGGAGCAUUGCCAUCCACCUGAACAAGAACAGGGCCAGAGCUGGAAGACCCAGAAUCUUCCAGGAGUAACAUGUGCUUAGGUUUUUUGUCACGGUCUUCAAGCACAUUGAAAAAUGAGGUUUUAGGAGCAGUGUAAACCUUUGCUGUGUUUUGGGGAUUGAAGGUGGACAAUGUGGGUGUCUGCACAGGGGGUGGUGGUGCAGGAGUCUGUGGGGGGGAGUCAGAGUUGGAGACUGAGGAAAUUCUAAUGGGCUUUGGAGGAGGUUUCUUCUGAGUCUUCUGUUGCCUUUCAGUAGGGGGCUGUGGGGCAGCAAAUUUUGGAUGCUCUGGAAUUUGAGCUGACGGCGGACUAGAGAUGGGUAUGGAUGAUGCAGAGCCAGUAGAAGUGGUAGACGGAGGCUUUGGUGGAGCCAUUGGUGGUGGUUUUAGGAACGAUAAAUCCUUUGGUUCUACUGAAGGAGGGUUUGGUGCGGGCAUGGAAGGAGGCUGUAGGGUUGCUGGAUCUAGAGUGUUUAAAUCACCCAGGAAGUCUGGUGGAGGUGGAAUAAAAUCACUUGGAGGUGGUGGAGGUGCUACAGAAGGAGGAGGAGGAACAAAUAUUUCUCCUUUAUCAAGGUUAGGCACUGAAGUAACGGAGCCAUUGGACAACAGAUCUCCACCAACUG
Long non-coding RNA from Oreochromis aureus, 4243 nucleotides. The record is from Ensembl. Lineage: Eukaryota; Metazoa; Chordata; Actinopteri; Cichliformes; Cichlidae.